This is a long non-coding RNA of Rhincodon typus (whale shark), 553 nucleotides long. RefSeq lists it as uncharacterized. Lineage: Eukaryota; Metazoa; Chordata; Chondrichthyes; Orectolobiformes; Rhincodontidae. The transcript has 3 exons. The record is from RefSeq and is a predicted model, not a curated record.
CUUUAGAUUAAGGUCUGUUGGCUGGUGAAUAGAACAGCAGAUUGAGCGCAGCCUCCGAUGGGUGGGAGGAGAAGUUGCUGUCUUGUGGAGAGCUGGGAGUAACGGCACAGGCUUUCACUUCUCGGCCUCUUGAGUUGAGUGUAUCCCUUGCUGUUGUGCCUCGUCUACUGGGAUACUGCAGUCUAUCUAUCUCUCUGUGAGUGUGAGUGAGUGAGUGAGUGAGCGAGCGAGCGUGCGUGCGUGUGUCUCUAUCUCUCUAUCUCUCUCUCUCUCUGUGUGUGUGUGUGUGAGAGACAGACAGACAGACGGACGGACGGAGUGGGGGCGAUGCUUUGCAGUGACUGAAGACUGGAACCAGUUGAGAGAACGUGGUGUCUGCGCUAACACGAAGAGCUGGUGAGCCAUACAAGAUUCUUGAUCUCUUGCAAACAGCUUGUAAACGGAUGCUACAGCCAACAAUUGGGGGCCAAUCUGUCAUGAAGGCGAUGUGAAAAGAUGGCUUUGCGAAUCCUCUGAGCACCUUGCAGAGUGAGAAAGAUGAACUGGAAACCAG